GACCCGCACAAGCGGUGGAUGAUGUGGAUUAAUUCGAUGCAACGCGAAAAACCUUACCUACCCUUGACAUGCCAGGAACUUGUGAGAGAUCACUUGGUGCCUUCGGGAGCCUGGACACAGGUGCUGCAUGGCUGUCGUCAGCUCGUGUCGUGAGAUGUUGGGUUAAGUCCCGCAACGAGCGCAACCCUUGCCACUAAUUGCCAUCAUUGAGUUGGGCACUUUAGUGGGACUGCCGGUGACAAACCGGAGGAAGGUGGGGAUGACGUCAAGUCCUCAUGGCCCUUAUGGGGUAGGGGCUUCACACGUCAUACAAUGGGUCGGGUACAGAGGGUUGCCAAGCCGCGAGGUGGAGCCAAUCCCAGAAAGCCGAUCGUAGUCCGGAUCGCAGUCUGCAACUCGACUGCGUGAAGUCGGAAUCGCUAGUAAUCGCGGAUCAGCAUGUCGCGGUGAAUACGUUCCCGGGUCUUGCACACACCGCCCGU
This 482-nucleotide ribosomal RNA is filed under the name uncultured Denitromonas sp. Its description in RNAcentral is "bacterial SSU rRNA". It matches the Rfam family "Bacterial small subunit ribosomal RNA", at positions 918 to 1397 of the family's 1533-position model. Lineage: Bacteria; Pseudomonadati; Pseudomonadota; Betaproteobacteria; Rhodocyclales; Zoogloeaceae. The record is from RNAcentral.